AAGGGUGACGCAGCAACGCCGCGUGUGGGAUGAAGCAUCUUGGUGUGUAAACCACUGUCAGUUGGGACGAACCGCUACAGCAAGCAACGGCUGUAGUCUGACGGUACCAGCAGAGGAAGCUCCGGCCAACUCCGUGCCAGCAGCCGCGGUAACACGGGGGGAGCAAGCGUUGUUCGGAAUCACUGGGCGUAAAGGGUACGCAGGCGGGAAGGCAGGUCAGAUGUGAAAACCCAAGGCUUAACCAUGGGCCUGCAUCUVAAACCACCUUUCUUGAGUAUCGGAGAGGAAAGCGGAACUCCAGGUGUAGCGGUGAAAUGCGUAGAUAUCUGGAGGAACACCGGUGGCGAAGGCGGCUUUCUGGCCGAAUACUGACGCUCAUGUACGAAGGCUGGGGGAGCAAACAGGAUUAGAUACCCUGGUAGUCCCAGCAGUAAACGAUGGGCACUAGGUGUUGGGGGAGUCGACCCC
Molecule: ribosomal RNA, 468 nt
Filed under: uncultured delta proteobacterium
Lineage: Bacteria; Deltaproteobacteria
Description: bacterial SSU rRNA
Rfam family: Bacterial small subunit ribosomal RNA
Source: RNAcentral